UACGGAGGGUGCAAGCGUUGUCCGGAUUUAUUGGGUUUAAAGGGUGCGUAGGUGGGGACUUAAGUCUGGUUUGAAAGCAAGCGGCUCAACCGUUUGAUGUGGCUGGAAACUGGGUUUCUUGAAUGGGUUGGCGGUAGCCGGAAUGGGUCAUGUAGCGGUGAAAUGCAUAGAUAUGCCCCGGAACACCGAUUGCGAAGGCAGGCUACUACGACUUGAUUGACACUGAGGCACGAGAGCAUGGGUAGCGAACAGG
RNAcentral lists this ribosomal RNA (253 nucleotides) under uncultured bacterium. RNAcentral's name for it is "partial 16S ribosomal RNA". It matches the Rfam family "Bacterial small subunit ribosomal RNA", at positions 524 to 776 of the family's 1533-position model. The record is from RNAcentral.